CCUACGGGUGGCAGCAGUGAGGAAUAUUGGUCAAUGGACGAGAGUCUGAACCAGCCAAGUAGCGUGAAGGAUGACUGCCCUAUGGGUUGUAAACUUCUUUUAUAUGGGAAUAAAACGUUCCACGUGUGGGCUUUUGUAUGUACCAUAUGAAUAAGGAUCGGCUAACUCCGUGCCAGCAGCCGCGGUAAUACGGAGGGUCCGAGCGUUAUCCGGAUUUAUUGGGUUUAAAGGGUGCGUAGGUGGGUUGUUAAGUCAGUUGUGAAAGUUUGCGGCUCAACCGUAAAAUUGCAGUUGAAACUGGCAGUCUUGAGUACAGUAGAGGUAGGCGGAAUUCGUGGUGUAGCGGUGAAAUGCUUAGAUAUCACGAAGAACUCCGAUUGCGAAGGCAGCUCACUGGACUGCAACUGACACUGAGGCACGAAAGUGUGGGUAUCAAACAGGAUUAGAUACCCCAGUAGUC
Molecule: ribosomal RNA, 460 nt
Filed under: uncultured bacterium
Lineage: Bacteria
Description: partial 16S ribosomal RNA
Rfam family: Bacterial small subunit ribosomal RNA
Source: RNAcentral